Molecule: ribosomal RNA, 497 nt
Filed under: uncultured bacterium
Lineage: Bacteria
Description: partial 16S ribosomal RNA
Rfam family: Bacterial small subunit ribosomal RNA
Source: RNAcentral
GAUGAACGCUGGCGGCGUGCCUAAUACAUGCAAGUCGAGCGAACAGACGAGGAGCUUGCUCCUUUGACGUUAGCGGCGGACGGGUGAGUAACACGUGGGUAACCUACCUAUAAGACUGGGAUAACUUCGGGAAACCGGAGCUAAUACCGUAUAAUAUUUCGAACCGCAUGGUUCGAUAGUGAAAGAUGGCUCUGCUAGCACUUAUAGAUGGACCUGCGCCGUAUUAGCUAGUUGGUAAGGUAACGGCUUACCAAGGCAACGAUACGUAGCCGACCUGAGAGGGUGAUCGGCCACACUGGAACUGAGACACGGUCCAGACUCCUACGGGAGGCAGCAGUAGGGAAUCGUCCGCAAUGGGCGAAAGCCUGACGGAGCAACGCCGCGUGAGUGAUGACGGUCUUCGGAUCGUAAAACUCUGUUAUUAGGGAAGAACAACCGUGUAAGUAACUGUGCACGUCUUGACGGUACCUAAUCAGAAAGCCACGGCUAACUACGUG